CGAGUCUGAGGAAUGGAUGAUAGUUCCUCGCGGGCUGCCGAGCGACCAGCAUCCCCCGAGGCGGUGCGCUGUUACCUCGCUUCUCCUGUGUGUGUCCGGAACGAGAUACCAGAGCGAAACCCGGCGUGUAAUUCGAAAGCACUGUAGAAAACAAACAUUAGUAUAAAAAAAUACAGAAAACAGAGCAAAAACUAAAAGAACAAGAAAAAACAGAACCAAAAGAAAAUGAAAGUGUUAGUGAUCAUGAAAGAAGUGAAAAAAGUCGCUCGUGGGUUUUGAAAAUCACCCAUACACAUGAACUAAUGGCAAACUAACUGAAAGAAAGAGAGACUGGUAAAUAACGAUAGAGAAGAAGAAAGAAGGAAUAAUUAUGCUCCCAAAAAGUGCACGGGCGUGACUCUAGUGUGAGAUUCAUCCUCCGUAACCCUCUUCCUCUUUCUUCUCUUUCUCCUAAUCUCUCUUUCUCUUCCUCCCUUCCACUUAUUUCCUACGUACCUAGAAACCUGAAUUUGAUCUGAAACCUGAACGUGAUCUUAAGUGUCUGUGUAACGUUUUUUUUUUUUUUUUUUAGCAUUUUUUUUUUUUUUUUU
Long non-coding RNA from Scylla paramamosain (green mud crab), 590 nucleotides. RefSeq lists it as uncharacterized. The transcript has 2 exons. The record is from RefSeq and is a predicted model, not a curated record. Lineage: Eukaryota; Metazoa; Arthropoda; Malacostraca; Decapoda; Portunidae.